This 460-nucleotide ribosomal RNA is filed under the name uncultured bacterium. Its description in RNAcentral is "partial 16S ribosomal RNA". It matches the Rfam family "Bacterial small subunit ribosomal RNA", at positions 338 to 795 of the family's 1533-position model. The record is from RNAcentral.
CCUACGGGAGGCAGCAGUGAGGAAUAUUGGUCAAUGGGCGCGAGCCUGAACCAGCCACGUAGCGUGAAGGAUGAAUGCCCUACGGGUUGUAAACUUCUUUUAUAAAGGAAUAAAGUGAGGCACGUGUGCCUCUUUGUAUGUACUUUAUGAAUAAGGAUAGGCUAACUCCGUGCCAGCAGACGCGGUAAUACGGAGGAUACGAGCGUUAUCCGGAUUUAUUGGGUUUAAAGGGAGCGUAGAUGGGUUGUUAAGUCAGUUGGGAAAGUUUGCGGCUCAACCGUAAAAUUGCAAUUGAUACUGGCAGCCGUGAGUACAGGUGAGGAAGGCGGAAUUCGUGGUGUAGCGGUGAAAUGCUUAGAUAUCACGAAGAACUCCGAUUGCGAAGGCAGCCUACUAAACUGCCACUGACAUUGAUGCUCGAAAGUGUGGGUAUCAAACAGGAUUAGAUACCCCUGUAGUC